RNAcentral lists this ribosomal RNA (424 nucleotides) under Verrucomicrobiota bacterium. RNAcentral's name for it is "Verrucomicrobia bacterium partial 16S ribosomal RNA". It matches the Rfam family "Bacterial small subunit ribosomal RNA", at positions 355 to 776 of the family's 1533-position model. The record is from RNAcentral. Lineage: Bacteria; Pseudomonadati; Verrucomicrobiota.
UGAGGAAUAUUGGUCAAUGGGCGAGAGCCUGAACCAGCCAAGUAGCGUGCAGGAUGACGGCCCUAUGGGUUGUAAACUGCUUUUAUAUGGGGAUAAAGUGGGGAACGUGUUCCCUUUUGCAGGUACCAUAUGAAUAAGGACCGGCUAAUUCCGUGCCAGCAGCCGCGGUAAUACGGAAGGUCCGGGCGUUAUCCGGAUUUAUUGGGUUUAAAGGGAGCGUAGGCCGUAGAUUAAGUGUGUUGUGAAAUGUAGACGCUCAACGUCUGACUUGCAGCGGAUACUGGUUUACUUGAGUUUGCACAACGUUGGCGGAAUUCGUCGUGUAGCGGUGAAAUGCUUAGAUAUGACGAAGAACUCCGAUUGCGAAGGCAGCUUGCGGGAGCAAAACUGACGCUGAAGCUCGAAAGUGCGGGUAUCGAACAGG